RNAcentral lists this ribosomal RNA (478 nucleotides) under uncultured bacterium. Its description in RNAcentral is "partial 16S ribosomal RNA". It matches the Rfam family "Bacterial small subunit ribosomal RNA", at positions 28 to 507 of the family's 1533-position model. The record is from RNAcentral.
GAUGAACGCUGGCGGCGUGCUUAACACAUGCAAGUCGAACGAGAAGUGAAGACGGAAACCUUCGGGCGGAAGGCUUUAUUUCGAGUGGCGGACGGGUGAGUAACGCGUGGGUAACCUGCCUCAUACAGGGGGAUAACAGUUGGAAACGACUGUUAAUACCGCAUAAGACCACAGCACCGCAUGGUGCGGUGGUAAAAACUCCGGUGGUAUGAGAUGGACCCGCGUUCGAUUAGCCAGUUGGCGGGGUAACGGCCCACCAAAGCGACGAUCGAUAGCCGAUCUGAGAGGAUGGCCGGCCACAGUGGGACUGAGACACGGCCCAAACUCCUACGGGAGGCAGCAGUGGGGAAUAUUGCACAAUGGGGGAAACCCUGAUGCAGCGACGCCGCGUGAGUGAAGAAGUAUUUCGGGAUGUAAAGCUCUAUCAGCAGGGAAGAAAAUGACGGUACCUGAGUAAGAAGCCCCGGCUAACUACGUG